CCAUCCCAGAGGCCCUUAUCUCCGGAGCUGUCCUGUGUGGGGUUGAUACCCAGGCACAGGCUCCUUUGCUCUAGAACCCCUGGGGGCAGUAAUGCAGCCCUUGUGCUCCGAGACUUGUCGAAGUUUGGAGAUACCUGGAGAGCUUGUGGGGCACUCCAGAAGACAAGACAGGGCUAAGGAAGCACAAGGAACUACUGCGAUGACCAUAGGAAGCCACCGCCUCAAGUGUGCCUCAGCUUUCCCACUCAUUUGGUGUGGCUGUUGGUUCUUUCUUCUUUUAUUAUGAACGCCGUAUCUGUGAUACAUUCCGAAUGCAUGUAUGUGCUUCAUCUUAAUCCUUUUAGCUAACCACCCGCCGCCCUCGCUGUCCAUCUCAAGUGUGCCUCAGCUUUCCUACUCCUUCGAUGUGGCUGUUUUCUCUGUUAGCCAGAAGUCUCUCACCUCGUUUAUGACUUUCUUUCAGAGGGACCAGAGAAAAGAGUAGAUGGUUAUUCAGUGUGCCCUUGGAUGGGGGAGAGUCAGGAGCCUUCUGCUGUAUUUCCAACAUCACAUCCUGUUAACCCUUGUGGGAGUGUGGAGAAUCGAAACCACAGCCUCGUACAUUCUGGGCGUGCACUCUAAAACGGAGCUGUGCCCCGGCCCUACCAU
Molecule: long non-coding RNA, 648 nt
Filed under: Fukomys damarensis (Damara mole-rat)
Lineage: Eukaryota; Metazoa; Chordata; Mammalia; Rodentia; Bathyergidae
Description: lncRNA (ENSFDAG00000028851.1)
Source: RNAcentral